AUUUGUUUUACUAUUGAGCCAACAGAUGGCGAAACUGUUUCGAUCUGUUUGUUUACUUUUUGUUUUUUGAUUUUUUUUUGUUCAUCUUCAAUUGUUAUGAUAAUUAAGUGAAUUUUAAUUGUGUCAUUCACAAUUAAUUAAUCAGGAUAAGAUGGAUUACAACAGUAUGGAUACAAUACCGGACGGUACCUGAUAGGUCAAGAUGAGAGUUAUUUGUUUACCAUGACGAGAGAAGGUAAAUUUUCAGGAAAUCCGAAAAUACCGUUAACUUUGUUUCUUACCUGUUGGUGAAAUUUUGAUUGAAUAAUUAAUAUCUGAAUCUCGUAAUCGAUUAUCAGCAAUUUAAAAGGAUGAAGUGAAAUCGAAGUGAACUGUUCUGGUGAUCGAUGGUGCCCUUGGGCGUUGAAUUGCUGGGAAAAAAUGGCGACUCAAAAACGAUUCUGUUAAUGGUCAUUUUUUUUACUUUUCCGUUGAUCGUAUUUGAUUUAAGAAACUGGGACUAUUACGAUCUUGUGAAAUCUUCAAUCAGAAACUUGGUAACAAAUCGAAAGGUGCUAACAAAACGAACCAUGAUGAUGAACUUAAACUUGUAUUCCAAAGUGUGAACAAUGAUUACAAUGAAAUGUUUCACAAUUAAAGCAUCACUGAAUCUCUAUUUGUCUGAUUAACUGUUAUUGUUACAGUUACUCUUUACUAUUGAAUAUCAAAAGACAUUGGAACAAUUCAAUAAGUUGAUAAUAAUGGUGUUGAUGAUCAUCAUGAUGACGGUUUUUCUGGUGGUUUUCUUAAUUUAAUUCUAAUUUUUGUUUAAUCUCAACGGUUCAAAGAUUCAAUUGAACAAUUCAAAAAAAAGACUCCUCUUUUUUGAUGGUCGUUUUUAAUUGUUAUACAUUAUUGGAAAAGAAAGAGAGAAUCAUCUUCAUUGAUAAUAAUACAUAUUCUCACCCUGAUGAUAAACUCACCUUUUGAUUGUGGUUUAAAAUAAUUGGUUUAAUUAGUAUCAUGCCAAGUGAAAGAAAAGGAGAAAACAAAAACAAAUCAACAAUAAUAGAUCAACAAUCAAAGGAGAGGAGGAAGAAAUUAAAAAGAUUCUGGAAAAGAUCAACAAUUCAACAACUACUCAUCUACCUCAUGGUGAUUGGAUAUCCUUUCAGAUGAACAUUAUCAUUGAUUUAUUCCUAUUCAAAUCAAUACCUUUUCCAUGGUACAACGAUAAUCAACAAUUGGUGGAAAUUAAAAUACAAGAAUCAAGGUGGAGAUGGAGUGUUUUUUUUUAUUCUGUCUAGUUCAGAAUAUCCUUUUUCUUGGUGGUACUUUUUUUCUGAGUUACUAUUCACCUCUUAUUUAGAUGUUGACAUUACAAGUAUCGAGGGAGUUUAUGUUAGUUGGUAAUGUGAUGGAUUCUGAUGAUGGAAGGAGCAAAAUUUAUCGUUAAAUCGAUGAUCAGUGAGACAGAAACUCGUUGACCUGCAAUUUUAUUCAUUGACUAUUCUAAUGAACACCAUCGAUGCAUUAACCCAAUACAUUUUGGAGACUGACAGUUGUAUAAAUAUCCACUCGAUAAACAAUCAAAUCCAACGUUAACCUGAUUAAUUCAACGCUUACCAUCAUCAUGUUUACCCGAAUUCUGGUCAAGGGUCAUUUGGAAAGUUCCAACUCUCUUUCUUUCUUUCUUUCUUUCUCUUUCAGUACAGUUGGAAAGGAUUAAUGAAGCCGAAAGAUUAUCGGAAGAAACGAAGAGAAAAUGUCAAUUGUUAUUGUCAAUAAUUGGAAUUAAAUCAAAGGGAAAAUUUUAAGUUUUCCGGUUUUUUUUCUUCGUUUUUCAAUCAUCGAAAUGAUUACAUGGUGUGAAUAUCACCAUGAUAGAAUAGAAAACAAUUAACUUGUUAAUUUGUUUUCUCUCACUUCGCCUGAUGAAAUGGGAAGGAAAUGAAAAGAGGCUGAUGGUCAAUUGAAAAUAGAGAAUCUUUAAUUAUGCAAAUUUCAUGAUUGAUUCAACAAUCAAAACCAAGAUUGGCAGAAGAAGAUGGAAAUUUAAAAGUAUUAAUAGUUACAAUGCUUUCCCUUGGUUUACCUGGAUUUGGAUUAAUCUAUGACAAUAGUAAUAGUAAUUAUCUCCAAUCUUGAAGGGAUAAAGAUUAAUGGUUCAAAUCUAUUGAAUGAGUUGUCGAUUUUGUCCCAAUUUUAUUGUUCGUUAAGGAUUAUCGGGUAUCCAUUGCCUGUGGUCACUUUGAUUGCAACAAAUUCAAAGACUGUGGUCAACUUGUUUUUAUACAUUAAUUGUGAACUACGAAUUGAUUAAUUAUGAUUGUUGGCAUUAUUUUUUUUCUUCAUUUACUUAUCAAAUCUUUUAAUUCACUAAAUAUUGGUCAAGUGUUUAUGGUGAUUAGGAUGAAUUGGUGGUGUUGAUUGUUGGUUUUCUUGAAUGAAAUUGAAAUGAUUACGAAUGAAACAACGAAUGAUUUACUUUCAAGAUCCGUUUGGUGAACUUUUUUUAGUCAAUGUUUCAUAAUUACUUCCAGGACUGACCAGUGUCCAAUCACCGACAACGAGGAGGCCAUCGAUGGAUCUAUUCAGUGUGUUAGAAACCGAAAUCUGUAGAUAAAUUAUUGAUAUAUUUCGUUGGCGUUGAUUUGGUGUUUAUUUUAGUUCGUUCAAAAUUGUAUCAACAACAAAAAGUAAAAACAUUUCCAAUAACAAAUCAAUCAAAGUUAAUCAACAUCAAUCAAAUGAACGGAUAAUCAGUGAUCGCGCAAUCAAUUCUCAGCUAGAAUAUUCUCUCAGGUAUUGAAUGAUAUGUCUAUUUCAUGGAAAGUUCAGUGGAAAAACGAAAUAAUAAUGAAAAUAACAAUUUCGAUUCGCUGGAUUUUUCAAGUUGAGAAAAUCUUUCGGAUAAAUAGAUUGAGUUUCGGAAUUUUAAUUUCUCUAUCAGGUAUUCAUAUUUAUCGGUAAUACUUAGAUAUUGAUAAAUCAUUCGAUACCUGAGAGAAUGAUCUGAAUUGUUCAGAAAGUAUCUUGAAGAUCAUGUAAUCAACUUGGAAACCAAAACGUUUUCUCAAUGAUAAUCAUAACAACAAACCUUAUUCAUGGGCCGUUGAGUCCGAGAAAAGUGACCUGUGUUAACGGGAAUGGCCUCACAUGGUGGACAGACAGUGAUAACACCAC
Molecule: long non-coding RNA, 3165 nt
Organism: Panonychus citri (citrus red mite)
Lineage: Eukaryota; Metazoa; Arthropoda; Arachnida; Trombidiformes; Tetranychidae
Exons: 3
Source: RefSeq, a predicted model, not a curated record